RNAcentral lists this ribosomal RNA (427 nucleotides) under uncultured bacterium. Its description in RNAcentral is "bacterial SSU rRNA". It matches the Rfam family "Bacterial small subunit ribosomal RNA", at positions 355 to 774 of the family's 1533-position model. The record is from RNAcentral.
UUAGGAAUAUUCGUCAAUGGAGGAAACUCUGAACGAGCAAUGCCGCGUGAAGGAUGACGGUCCUUUGGAUUGUAAACUUCUGUUGUUAGGAACGAACAACCUAAGUAGGAAAUGACUUAGGCCUGACGGUACCUUUCAAGAAAGCUCCGGCUAACUACGUGCCAGCAGCCGCGGUAAUACGUAGGGAGCGAGCGUUAUCCGGAUUCAUUGGGUGUAAAGCGUGUGUAGGCGGUUUCUUAAGUCAGUAGUCUAAGCCUGGAGCUUAACUCCAGUUCGCUACUGAAACUGAGUUACUUGAGUAUGGUAGAGGCAAGUGGAAUUUCUAGUGUAGCGGUGGAAUGCGUAGAUAUUAGAAGGAACACCAGUGGCGAAGGCGGCUUGCUGGGCCAUCACUGACGCUGAGACACGAAAGCGUGGGGAGCAAAUA